Molecule: ribosomal RNA, 515 nt
Filed under: uncultured bacterium
Lineage: Bacteria
Description: bacterial SSU rRNA
Rfam family: Bacterial small subunit ribosomal RNA
Source: RNAcentral
GACGAACGCUGGCGGCGUGGAUUAGGCAUGCAAGUCGAACGGUAUAAACCUUUCGGGUUUAGAGAGUGGCGAACGGGUGAGUAACACGUAGGUAAUCUACCCUCAAACGGGACGAACCCAGGGAAACUUGGGCUAAUACCGGAUGCGUGCAAGCAAUGUUUUGGCUGUUAAUGCUAUUCACGGAAGUGAGUAGUGUUAAGUGGUUGAGAGCAUUAUUUGCAUAAAAGGUGGCAUAUGCUGCCGUUUGAGGAUGAGCCUGCGUCCUAUUAGUUAGUUGGUGAGGUAAUGGCUUACCAAGGCGAUGAUAGGUAGGCGGCCUUAACGGGUGUCGCCCACACUGGGAUUGAGAGACGGGCCCAGACUCCUACGGGGAGGCAGCAGUCGAGAAUAGUCUACAAUGGACGGAAGUCUGAUAGUGCGACGCCGCGUGAACGGAAGAAUCCCUUCGGGGUUAAAGUUCUUUAUACGUGAGCAGUGCCCUUUAAUGAAUAGUAUAGAGGGAGGGAUUUAAGCGU